UACGUAGGGUCCGAGCGUUGUCCGGAAUUAUUGGGCGUAAAGAGCUCGUAGGCGGUCUGUCGCGUCUGCUGUGAAAACUCAGGGCUUAACCCUGAGCUUGCAGUGGGUACGGGCAGACUAGAGUGCGGUAGGGGAGACUGGAAUUCCUGGUGUAGCGGUGAAAUGCGUAGAUAUCUGGAGGAACACCGGUGGCGAAGGCGGCAUCCUGGACCGACACUGACGCUGAGGAGCGAAAGCCAGGGGAGCAAACGGG
This 253-nucleotide ribosomal RNA is filed under the name uncultured bacterium. RNAcentral's name for it is "partial 16S ribosomal RNA". It matches the Rfam family "Bacterial small subunit ribosomal RNA", at positions 524 to 776 of the family's 1533-position model. The record is from RNAcentral.